AUAUCGGGCUUGCGAAAGGGUUCU
RNAcentral lists this ribosomal RNA (24 nucleotides) under Fusispermum minutiflorum. RNAcentral describes it as "partial 18S ribosomal RNA". The record is from RNAcentral. Lineage: Eukaryota; Viridiplantae; Streptophyta; Magnoliopsida; Malpighiales; Violaceae.